AUACAGCGCCGCCCCUCCCACCACGCGCAUCACGCGCCGUGCGUCAACCCAUUCUCACUCCCAAAGCGUCAAAAACUGAAGCGUGGUCAAGCGCCUCUAGCGUCACUGACAUGAGAUGUUUAUCGCUUUGAAAUCACGUUCAAGAAGUCUCAUUCAGCACACAUCGCGAUACUUGCCAUCAGUUUACAAGAGCCGCAGGUUGGGUGAGUUAUACAGUCUAUGCUGAAAAGACAUAAAGGAAGCAGUCACCCCAGUGGUGUUUGUGGAGAGGUAUUCCUUCAGAAAUGGAGAAGACAGAAAGCUGCAGAGGCAGGAUUGUUUGCACAUAACACUGUAGAUCUCCGUCAUGCACAAGGACUCACCUAUUUAACUCUUUAUCCCCCCCGCCACACACACACAGAAAUGGUUCCUGGAUCAGUGACUUAAGACUUUGCAGUGAUUUGAU
Cyprinus carpio carpio is the source of this 445-nucleotide long non-coding RNA. Lineage: Eukaryota; Metazoa; Chordata; Actinopteri; Cypriniformes; Cyprinidae. The record is from Ensembl.